RNAcentral lists this ribosomal RNA (522 nucleotides) under uncultured bacterium. Its description in RNAcentral is "bacterial SSU rRNA". It matches the Rfam family "Bacterial small subunit ribosomal RNA", at positions 25 to 518 of the family's 1533-position model. The record is from RNAcentral.
CAGGACGAACGCUGGCGGCGUGCCUAAUACAUGCAAGUCGAACGGUCUUUUCUAUGGAAGCUUGCUUCCACUGAGAAGAUAGUGGCGAACGGGUGAGUAACACGUGGGUAACCUGCCCAUAAGAGGGGGGAUAACAUCCGGAAACGGGUGCUAAUACCGCAUAGUUUUCUUGAUCGCAUGAUCGGGAAAGGGAAGACGGCCUUUGUGCUGUCGCUUAUGGAUGGACCCGCGGCGUAUUAGUUAGUUGGUGAGGUAACGGCUCACCAAGACGAUGAUACGUAGCCGACCUGAGAGGGUGAUCGGCCACAUUGGGACUGAGACACGGCCCAAACUCCUACGGGAGGCAGCAGUAGGGAAUCUUCCGCAAUGGACGAAAGUCUGACGGAGCAACGCCGCGUGAGUGAAAGAAGGUUUUCGGAUCGUAAAACUCUGUUGUCAGAGAAGAACAAGUUGGAGAGUAACUGCUCCAGCCUUGACGGUAUCUGACCAGAAAGCCACGGCUAACUACGUGCCAGCCGCGGC